This 490-nucleotide ribosomal RNA is filed under the name uncultured bacterium. RNAcentral describes it as "partial 16S ribosomal RNA". It matches the Rfam family "Bacterial small subunit ribosomal RNA", at positions 30 to 507 of the family's 1533-position model. The record is from RNAcentral.
AUUGAACGCUGGCGGCAGGCCUAACACAUGCAAGUCGAAUGGUAACAGGAAACAGCUUGCUGUUUCGCUGACGAGUGGCGGACGGGUGAGUAAUGUCUGGGAAACUGCCUGAUGGAGGGGGAUAACUACUGGAAACGGUAGCUAAUACCGCAUAACGUCGCAAGACCAAAGAGGGGGACCUUCGGGCCUCUUGCCAUCAGAGGUGCCCAGAUGGGAUUAGCUAGUAGGUGGGGUAACGGCCCACCUAGGCGACGAUCCCUAGCUGGUCUGAGAGGAUGACCAGCCACACUGGAACUGAGACACGGUCCAGACUACUACGGGAGGCAGCAGUGGGGAAUAUUGCGCAAUGGGGGCAAGCCUGAUGCAGCCAUGCCGCGUGUAUGAAGAAGGCCUUCGGGUUGUAAAGUACUUUCAGCGGGGAUGAAGGGAGUAAAGUUAAUACCUUGGCUCAUUGACGUUACCCGCAGAAGAAGCACCGGCUAACUCCGUG